This 248-nucleotide ribosomal RNA is filed under the name uncultured bacterium. Its description in RNAcentral is "partial 16S ribosomal RNA". It matches the Rfam family "Bacterial small subunit ribosomal RNA", at positions 524 to 776 of the family's 1533-position model. The record is from RNAcentral.
CACGUAGGGGCGAGCGUUGUCCGGAUUUAUUGGGCGUAAAGAGCUCGUAGGCGGCUCGGUAAGUCAGGUGUGAAACUCUAGGCUCAACCUAGAGACGCCACCUGAUACUGCUGUGGCUAGAGUCCGGUAGGGAGCAUGGAAUUCCUGGUGUAGCGGUGAAAUGCGCAGAUAUCAGGAGGAACACCAGUGGCGAAGGCGGUGCUCUGGCCGGAACUGACGCUGAGGAGCGAAAGCGUGGGAGCAACAGG